CGUAGGUGGCGAGCGUUGUCCGGAUUUAUUGGGUUUAAAGGGUGCGUAGGCGGCCUCAUAAGUCAGUGCUGAAAUAUUCCGGCUUAACCGGGAGGGUGGCAUUGAUACUGCGGGGCUAGAGUACAGAUGAGGUAGGCGGAAUUGACGGUGUAGCGGUGAAAUGCUUAGAUAUCGUCAAGAACACCUAUAGCGAAGGCAGCUUACUAGGCUGUAACUGACGCUGAGGCACGAAAGUGUGGGGAUCAAACAGGAUUAGAUACCCUGGUAGUCCACACUGUAAACGUUGAUUACUCGCUGUGUGCGAUAUACAGUACGCGGCCAAGCGAAAGCGCUAAGUAAUCCACCUGGGGAGUACGCCGGCAACGGUG
Molecule: ribosomal RNA, 368 nt
Filed under: uncultured organism
Description: bacterial SSU rRNA
Rfam family: Bacterial small subunit ribosomal RNA
Source: RNAcentral